CAUAUGCCAGCCGUGAAAAGUGAAUACUUUUCACAACGCACACAACGUUCGCCGUUAAAAGUAUUACACUUUUUACAACACACAUCGCAUGCUGUUAAAAGUAUUGCCUUUUUACGACGCAUAAUGCAUGUCGUGAAUUGUAAGAACAAAAAAAAAUGCCAAAAUAAAAUUUGGGGCGCUACUCACAAGAAAAAAAUAUAUAUAUUAGAAAAAAAAUUUUCCCCCAAAAUAACUAUUUUGCCUUCCUUUAAUUAGAAUGGAACAUCACAAGGAUUUCAAUCUCUCUAUCUCUCUCUUUCUCACUCUCUAAUGAUGAUGAAGGCCGAAUCAAUUGCUAGGGUUACCAGGAUCAUCUCAUAUCUUCUCUUCAGUUGUGUAUCUAAAAUCAAAUCAAAGGUAUCUGUCGUUGUCUUAUGCUUCUUUUCUCUUCUUGGUUGUGUAUCUGAAAUCCCUAAUUCAUUCUCACUCCCAGCCCAGUCCUACCCUAGUCUCUUUCGCUUCUUUCUCUUUCAGCGGCCGUAACACUAUGUGCAGUACCCAUACGGUGACGUGGUGGCGCCGCCCUAUUUCAACCACAACAAUGGCGUCUCUCAUCUCUGGCUUCCUCUCCAAACUUUUCCAAAAUCUCAGCAAUAUUGUUGCCGGAGGGUAUUGAGAAGAAAGUGGGUGUGAAAGAAGAGAUUGAGGGUUCGGAGAGUCUUUGAUCUUCGGAGCCAUUGAUUAGCCCCCAAUCACAUUAUGGUUCGAAUACAAAACCUGAUUUGGGGGGUUUUGAGAAGAUCUCUGUAAAAAAAAGAAGAUUUUAUGAAUGGGUUUUAUGAGUUUAAGAUCAUAAAGAGAUAGGUUACAAUAUGUUAAAGAGAAAAUGUCCUCCUUCAUUGCAGAAGUAGCAAUCUUCGAGAGUCACAGCAACAAUGGCCGCAAUGGUUGCUUUUCAGAGCUCAUUCACUUCUUUUUCUCUCUCCUCAAAUUCCUUUUUAGGCUAAUGCAUCCACAGUUCAAUGUCUUCUCCCAUUGUCUCUGUUUUGUUUCGUGUUAUUUGAUUUUGGGGUGAAACAUCUCAAAAUCGCCAUAUACAGUUCAAAUUUAAGGGUUAGUUAGUAGAUGCAAUUUAUGAUCCUUCAAAUGUCUUCUGGAAGUUUGAAGGCUUAUGACUUCCAAAUUUUGUGACCUCAUUCAAGGCUGUUUCGUUUCAUUAUCUCAUCUUUGAAGUCUGGAAGAUCUUCAUAUCUAAUGGAUGUUAUUGUGGGUCUGCUUUAUCCUAUAAUUUUUUUGCAGGUACAUGAUCUCCUCAAAUAUAGGUGAGGUUGCCUCAAUAUUUUUAACAGAGGCAUUAGGGGUCCCAGAAGGCCUAAUCCCUGUCCAACCCUUGUGGGUCAACCUUGUCACAGAUGGACAUCCUGCGACAGCCACCAGAUAGGGACAUCAUGAAGAAACCCCCUCGCUGAGGUGAUGACAUGCUCAUCAAUCCUUGGACUUUAUUCUGCUAUCUGGUAAAAAGUUUGGAAAAGAGAAAUGACCAGAAGUCUCCAACUACGCCCGAAACAAAACAAGAACAUUUCAAGGCCUUGGUUUAUCAAACAGCAACACCUUUCUUAAUCGAAAGAACCAAUCGGUUUGUAAAUGAGGUUGAACUGUUCCUAGCUUCGGGUUUGAAUAUUGAAGCCUAUGACAAAGUUUACAUGCAGCAUUUGGGUUGGAAAGUUUCUGGGAUUACCACUGAAGGAGAAGUUAGUGGAAAUGCACCUUUAGUUCCAUACCUGUUUUUGUUUGACGAGGACUGAUGAAAUUGAGUGAUCAUUUUGUCUUGAAAAUAUAAAUUAAUAUUUGUUUUUGUUUCAUUUGUUUUGUAAUCUUCAUUUGGUACUCUUUUGGACGAACAUUGUAGUAAGUUCUGUUUUGUGUAAAAAGAUGAGGUGUACCAAUGGAGAGAGAAAAAUAAGUCUUUAAUUUUUGGGGGGGUUCAUUUUGUUUUGAGUUUCAUUACCCCAAAAGGAGAUUUGUAUGUUGAGAGGUGAAACUUUUUGGGAAGAUGAUUGUGGCCCUAUUUCGAGCAGAUUAUUGGACAGAAUUGAGGAUAAACUGUGUAAUGUUUGUUGGGUUGUGUUUGUCUUUUGUUUUUUAUUUUUAUUUAUUAGAG
Camellia sinensis is the source of this 2140-nucleotide non-coding RNA. Lineage: Eukaryota; Viridiplantae; Streptophyta; Magnoliopsida; Ericales; Theaceae. The record is from RefSeq and is a predicted model, not a curated record.